Molecule: long non-coding RNA, 316 nt
Organism: Oncorhynchus keta (chum salmon)
Lineage: Eukaryota; Metazoa; Chordata; Actinopteri; Salmoniformes; Salmonidae
Exons: 3
Source: RefSeq, a predicted model, not a curated record
CUGCUCAGACAGGUGAGGGCAGCCGACUGCUCAGACAGGUGAGGGCAGCCGACUGCUCAGACAGGUGAGGACAGCCGACUGCUCAGACAGGUGAGGACAGCCGACUGCUCAGACAGGUGAGGACAGCCGACUGCUCAGACAGGUGAGGACAGCCGACUGCUCAGACAGGUGAGGGCAGCAGACAGGUGAGGACAUACCAGCCAGCCAUUCUUAUAUGGCCCUUAAGACGGAUUUAGCGAACAACAGUUUUUUACAUGGUCUGUAAAUUCUGUGGAUUUAACAACCAAUACAUUUUACAGCUUGGUGCUCCGGUAAC